UACGAAGGGGGCUAGCGUUGCUCGGAAUCACUGGGCGUAAAGCGCACGUAGGCGGCUUGCUAAGUCAGGGGUGAAAUCCUGGAGCUCAACUCCAGAACUGCCUUUGAUACUGGCGGCCUUGAGUCCGGGAGAGGUGAGUGGAACUGCGAGUGUAGAGGUGAAAUUCGUAGAUAUUCGCAAGAACACCAGUGGCGAAGGCGGCUCACUGGCCCGGUACUGACGCUGAGGUGCGAAAGCGUGGGGAGCAAACAGG
Molecule: ribosomal RNA, 253 nt
Filed under: uncultured bacterium
Lineage: Bacteria
Description: partial 16S ribosomal RNA
Rfam family: Bacterial small subunit ribosomal RNA
Source: RNAcentral